This is a long non-coding RNA of Bubalus bubalis (water buffalo), 502 nucleotides long. RefSeq lists it as uncharacterized. The transcript has 3 exons. NCBI's taxonomy places the organism in Eukaryota, Metazoa, Chordata, Mammalia, Artiodactyla, Bovidae. The record is from RefSeq and is a predicted model, not a curated record.
CAUGUUCCCUUAGAGUGUGGAAAUGGAAAAAUGUAAUGGCCAUUCAUACACAGAAGCCUCACUGUGAAAAUUCAAGCUGUUCUCACAGUAUUCAUCAAGACAAACUGGUUUUCUGGCAUGCCAUUCUUGAAAGGAGACAUUCAUAUAGUUGCUGGUGUUUAUGGAGAUGGUACUGAUGAACCUAUUUGCAGAGCAACGGUGGAGACACAGACAUUAAGAACAGACUUUAGCUGAAGGCCAGUAGGAAAGAAAAAUGGGAAGGGGAAAACAAGCACCAUCCUUCUCCCAGGCACCUGACUGCUCCUUUGAUCUGACCCAAGGUUUGUACCUACCACACCAUGUAUGACUCAGAUGCCUUCAGGCCCAUUCCUCUAUGAUAUGUAUCUUGUGUGGGGGUGGGGGUUGAAACUACCUGACAUUAAAGGAAAGAUUUGAGGAGGAAAAAAAAUUGCUUUUUGAUAUUUUUUAGACUCUAAGAAAAUAUCAAGUGCACAUGGAAACA